This 1681-nucleotide ribosomal RNA is filed under the name Staphylococcus pseudintermedius. RNAcentral's name for it is "partial 23S ribosomal RNA". It matches the Rfam family "Bacterial large subunit ribosomal RNA", at positions 1239 to 2925 of the family's 2925-position model. The record is from RNAcentral. Lineage: Bacteria; Bacillati; Bacillota; Bacilli; Caryophanales; Staphylococcaceae.
UUCUAAGGGCGUUGAAGCAUGAUCGCAAGGACAUGUGGAGCGCUUAGAAGUGAGAAUGCCGGUGUGAGUAGCGAAAGACGGGUGAGAAUCCCGUCCACCGAUUGACUAAGGUUUCCAGAGGAAGGCUCGUCCGCUCUGGGUUAGUCGGGUCCUAAGCUGAGGCCGACAGGCGUAGGCGAUGGAUAACAGGUUGAUAUUCCUGUACCACCAUUAUUCGUUUUAAGCGAUGGGGGGACGCAGUAGGAUAGGCGAAGCGUGCUGUUGGAGUGCACGUCCAAGCAGUGAGAUUGAGUGUUAGGCAAAUCCGGCACUCUUAAGAUUGAGCUGUGAUGGGGAGAGGAACUUGUUCCUCGAGUCGUUGAUUUCACACUGCCGAGAAAAGCCUCUAGCUAGAAUAACGGUGCCCGUACCGCAAACCGACACAGGUAGUCAAGAUGAGAAUUCUAAGGUGAGCGAGCGAACUCUCGUUAAGGAACUCGGCAAAAUGACCCCGUAACUUCGGGAGAAGGGGUGCUCUUUGAGGUUCACGCUUCGAAGAGCCGCAGUGAAUAGGCCCAAGCGACUGUUUAUCAAAAACACAGGUCUCUGCUAAACCGUAAGGUGACGUAUAGGGGCUGACGCCUGCCCGGUGCUGGAAGGUUAAGAGGAGUGGUUAGCGCAAGCGAAGCUACGAAUCGAAGCCCCAGUAAACGGCGGCCGUAACUAUAACGGUCCUAAGGUAGCGAAAUUCCUUGUCGGGUAAGUUCCGACCCGCACGAAAGGCGUAACGAUUUGGGCACUGUCUCAACGAGAGACUCGGUGAAAUCAUAGUACCGGUGAAGAUGCCGGUUACCCGCGACAGGACGGAAAGACCCCGUGGAGCUUUACUGUAGCCUGAUAUUGAAAUUCGGUACAGUUUGUACAGGAUAGGUAGGAGCCUUAGAAGCGUGAGCGCUAGCUUACGUGGAGGCAUUGGUGGGAUACUACCCUAAUUGUAUUGGAUUUCUAACCCGCAGCACUUAUCGUGCUGGGAGACAGUGUCAGGCGGGCAGUUUGACUGGGGCGGUCGCCUCCUAAAGAGUAACGGAGGCGCUCAAAGGUUCCCUCAGAAUGGUUGGAAAUCAUUCAUAGAGUGUAAAGGCAUAAGGGAGCUUGACUGCGAGACCUACAAGUCGAGCAGGGUCGAAAGACGGACUUAGUGAUCCGGUGGUUCCGCAUGGAAGGGCCAUCGCUCAACGGAUAAAAGCUACCCCGGGGAUAACAGGCUUAUCUCCCCCAAGAGUUCACAUCGACGGGGAGGUUUGGCACCUCGAUGUCGGCUCAUCGCAUCCUGGGGCUGUAGUCGGUCCCAAGGGUUGGGCUGUUCGCCCAUUAAAGCGGUACGCGAGCUGGGUUCAGAACGUCGUGAGACAGUUCGGUCCCUAUCCGUCGUGGGCGUAGGAAAUUUGAGAGGAGCUGUCCUUAGUACGAGAGGACCGGGAUGGACAUACCUCUGGUGUACCAGUUGUCGUGCCAACGGCAUAGCUGGGUAGCUAUGUAUGGACGGGAUAAGUGCUGAAAGCAUCUAAGCAUGAAGCCCCCCUCGAGAUGAGAUUUCCCAACUUCGGUUAUAAGAUCCCUCAAAGAUGAUGAGGUGAAUAGGUUCGAGGUGGAAGCGUAGUGAUACGUGGAGCUGACGAAUACUAAUCGAUCGAAGACUUAA